GAUGAACGCUAGCUACAGGCUUAACACAUGCAAGUCGAGGGGCAGCAUGACGAUAGCUUGCUAUUGUUGAUGGCGACCGGCGCACGGGUGAGUAACGCGUAUCCAACCUGCCCUUGUCCACCGGAUAACCCGUCGAAAGGCGGACUAACACGGUAUGCAGUCCACAGCAGACAUCUAACGUGGACGAAAUGUGAAGGAGAAGGAUGGGGAUGCGUCUGAUUAGCUUGUUGGCGGGGUAACGGCCCACCAAGGCGACGAUCAGUAGGGGUUCUGAGAGGAAGGUCGCCCACAUGGGAACUGAGACACGGUCCAAACUCCUACGGGAGGCAGCAGUGAGGAAUAUUGGUCAAUGGGCGAGAGCCUGAACCAGCCAAGUAGCGUGCAGGAAGACGGCCCUAUGGGUUGUAAACUGCUUUUAUACGGGGAUAAAGUGAGUCACGUGUGGCUUAUUGCAGGUACCGUAUGAGUAAGGACCGGCUAAUUCCGUGCCAGCCGCCGCAGUAA
RNAcentral lists this ribosomal RNA (504 nucleotides) under uncultured bacterium. RNAcentral's name for it is "partial 16S ribosomal RNA". It matches the Rfam family "Bacterial small subunit ribosomal RNA", at positions 28 to 523 of the family's 1533-position model. The record is from RNAcentral.